This is a small nucleolar RNA of Ornithorhynchus anatinus (platypus), 138 nucleotides long. Lineage: Eukaryota; Metazoa; Chordata; Mammalia; Monotremata; Ornithorhynchidae. The record is from RefSeq and is a predicted model, not a curated record.
AGCUUCUCAGGUUCACACCUGGAGAGUUUCCAGAACUCUACCAGUCUCAGCUAAAAGAGGGAGAGUCAAGCAGAGGCCUACCCAUUCCAUUCCUAGUUUGGGCAGUGGCUAGCGAGUGGAAGGCAAUCUGUCACAAGU